GAGGAGCGGCACAAAUGGACUC
This 22-nucleotide microRNA is filed under the name Monodelphis domestica (gray short-tailed opossum). Its description in RNAcentral is "mdo-miR-12329-5p". Lineage: Eukaryota; Metazoa; Chordata; Mammalia; Didelphimorphia; Didelphidae. The record is from miRBase by way of RNAcentral.